Long non-coding RNA from Harmonia axyridis, 743 nucleotides. RefSeq lists it as uncharacterized. The record is from RefSeq and is a predicted model, not a curated record. The transcript is spliced from 2 exons. Lineage: Eukaryota; Metazoa; Arthropoda; Insecta; Coleoptera; Coccinellidae.
UAGGGGGAGUCCGGGAGAGUUUACCAGGAGGGAGACUAUAGCCACGGCUCAUAAAAACUUUGUGUCUCUAUGUAUUAAGAGAUGGCUCCACUUCUUGGAAGUCAUACGCUCACCCCGAGAUUCUCCCGCGACAUCAUUGCGCUUUUCAGUUGGAUUUAGGAAUGCGAAGUGAUAACGUGGUUUCGUGUCUGGUGAGUGAUUUUUUCCGAUUUUUAACAUUUCAUUGCUGUUGUUUUGUAUCCAUAGAUUCAAAUUAAUGAACACUCAAAAUGCCCUUCCAGUAUAAGAAAAAAGAUUCAACAAGGAACAGGAGUAAUUUGAAUUUAUCAGUGAUAAAAAAUGCUUUAGAUGAUGUUGACAAAGGAAAAUCUAUUAGAGGUGCUGCUAUGGAGUAUGGAAUAGAUAGAAUAGAAUGUUGAAUCAGCUUCAUCAUCAACUAUACAACACAUUUCAGAGCCUUCGACAUCUGCAUCGGGGAUCGCGGUCACUGCGCAAGAAGUGGUAUCUAGAGCUAGUUCAGAUAUUAAAAAUGCAGAAUCCGGGAUAGGUCUGAAAUCAAAAAUGAUUUUGCCAGAAGUAAUUAGACCUUUUCCAAAAUCUGCUCCCAGAAAAACUAUUCGUCGUGGAAGACAGCCAGGAAAAACUAAAAUUUUGACUAAAACACCAGAAAAAUUCGAUUUGAGUGUUAAUGACGAACCGAAGGAAAAAAAAAUUAAAAUGGAAACAACAAAGGCUAAAACAAA